This 420-nucleotide ribosomal RNA is filed under the name uncultured bacterium. RNAcentral's name for it is "bacterial SSU rRNA". It matches the Rfam family "Bacterial small subunit ribosomal RNA", at positions 97 to 520 of the family's 1533-position model. The record is from RNAcentral.
GGCGAACGGGUGCGUAACACGUGAGCAAUCUGCCGAUUUCUGGGGGAUAGCCGGCCCAACGGCGGGUAAUACCGCAUACGCUCGUCGAGGGGAGUCCCUUGACGAGGAAACCUCCGGGGGAAAUCGAGGAGCUCGCGGCCUAUCAGCUAGUUGGCGGGGUAAUGGCCCACCAAGGCGAUGACGGGUAGCUGGUCUGAGAGGAUGGCCAGCCACAUUGGGACUGAGAAACGGCCCAGACUCCUACGGGAGGCAGCAGUGGGGAAUCUUGCGCAAUGGCCGAAAGGCUGACGCAGCGACGCCGCGUGUGGGAGGACGCCCUUCGGGGUGUAAACCACUGUUGCCCGGGACGAAUGACCCUUUCGAGGGGAGUGACGGUACCGGGUGAGGAAGCACCGGCUAACUCCGUGCCAGCCGCCGCGG